This 254-nucleotide ribosomal RNA is filed under the name uncultured bacterium. RNAcentral's name for it is "partial 16S ribosomal RNA". It matches the Rfam family "Bacterial small subunit ribosomal RNA", at positions 524 to 776 of the family's 1533-position model. The record is from RNAcentral.
UACGGGGGGAGCAAGCGUUGUUCGGAUUUACUGGGCGUAAAGGGCGGGUAGGCGGCCACCGCAAGUCAGUUGUGAAAUCUCCGGGCUUAACCCGGAAAGGUCAACUGAUACUGCGGGGCUAGAGUGCAGAAGGGGCAACUGGAAUUCUCGGUGUAGCGGUGAAAUGCGUAGAUAUCGAGAGGAACGCCUGCGGCGAAGGCGGCCACCUGGUUGGAUACUGACGCUGAGACGCGAAAGCGUGGGGAGCAAACAGG